AAGUCUCCCCUGUAGUGUGAGGUCAGCUUGGUAACCGAUGGAUGACCUAACUAUUCGAGUGGAUCGAGUGUGAAGCUACGCAUAGUCAUCGCUGGAGUACGGUCGCAGACUGAACUAAAAGGAUGACGGGACCCGCACAAAGUAGUGGAGCAUGUGGUUUAAUUCGAAGCUACGCGGAAAACUUUACCAGAACUUGACAUGAUGACUAUACGCCGGGCAAUGCCGGGCUACUUACUACAUCACAGGUGGUGCAUGGUUGUCGUCAGCUCGUGUCGUGAGAUGUUAGGUUAAGUCCUGCAACGAGCGCAACCCUUGUCGUUAGUUACGAAGUUCAGUUGGGACUCUAGCGAGACUGCCGAUGUAAAUCGGAGGAAGGUGGGGAUGACGUCAAAUCAGCAUGCCCUUUAUGUCCUGGGCAACACACGUGCUACAAUGGCCGUUACAAAGAGUCGCGAUGCCGCGAAAGCGGAGCUAAUCUCAAAAAGGCGGUCUCAGUUCAGAUUGGAGUCUGCAAUUCGACUCCAUGAAGGCGGAAUUACUAGUAAUCGCGAAUCAGCAUGUCGCGGUGAAUACGUUCCCGGGGUUUGUACACACCGCCCGUCAAACCAUGAGAGGUGGUAACGCUUGAAGCCGCUGUCCUAACCGCAAGGAGGGAGGCGUCUAGGGUGGGACCGCUGAUUGGGGUUAAGUCGUAACAAGG
Molecule: ribosomal RNA, 700 nt
Filed under: uncultured bacterium
Lineage: Bacteria
Description: bacterial SSU rRNA
Rfam family: Bacterial small subunit ribosomal RNA (bases 93-700)
Source: RNAcentral